Molecule: ribosomal RNA, 440 nt
Filed under: uncultured bacterium
Lineage: Bacteria
Description: partial 16S ribosomal RNA
Rfam family: Bacterial small subunit ribosomal RNA
Source: RNAcentral
CCUACGGGUGGCAGCAGUGGGGAAUAUUGCACAAUGGGGGAAACCCUGAUGCAGCGACGCCGCGUGAGUGAAGAAGUAUUUCGGUACGUAAAGCUCUAUCAGCAGGGAAGAAAAUGACGGUACCUGACCAAGAAGCCCCGGCUAACUACGUGCCAGCAGCCGCGGUAAUACGUAGGGGGCAAGCGUUAUCCGGAAUCACUGGGUGUAAAGGGAGCGUAGACGGCUGAGCAAGCCUGAAGUGAAAGGCAGGGGCCCAACCCCUGGACUGCUUUGGGAACUGUACGGCUGGAGUGCAGGAGAUGUAAGUGGAAUUCCUAGUGUAGCGGUGAAAUGCGUAGAUAUUAGGAGGAACACCAGUGGCGAAGGCGGCUUACUGGACUGUAACUGACGUUGAGGCUCGAAAGCGUGGGGAGCAAACAGGAUUAGAUACCCGUGUAGUC